AUUGAACGCUGGCAGCAGGCCUAACACAUGCAAGUCGAGCGGAUGAAGGGAGCUUGCUCCUGGAUUCAGCGGCGGACGGGUGAGUAAUGCCUAGGAAUCUGCCUGGUAGUGGGGGAUAACGUCCGGAAACGGGCGCUAAUACCGCAUACGUCCUGAGGGAGAAAGUGGGGGAUCUUCGGACAUCACGCUAUCAGAGGAGCCUAGGUCGGAUUAGCUAGUUGGUGGGGUAAAGGCCUACCAAGGCGACGAUCCGUAACUGGUCUGAGAGGAUGAUCAGUCACACUGGAACUGAGACACGGUCCAGACUCCUACGGGAGGCAGCAGUGGGGAAUAUUGGACAAUGGGCGAAAGCCUGAUCCAGCCAUGCCGCGUGUGUGAAGAAGGUCUUCGGAUUGUAAAGCACUUUAAGUUGGGAGGAAGGGCAGUAAGUUAAUACCUUGCUGUUUUGACGUUACCAACAGAAUAAGCACCGGCUAACUUCGUG
RNAcentral lists this ribosomal RNA (484 nucleotides) under uncultured bacterium. RNAcentral's name for it is "partial 16S ribosomal RNA". It matches the Rfam family "Bacterial small subunit ribosomal RNA", at positions 30 to 507 of the family's 1533-position model. The record is from RNAcentral.